This 497-nucleotide ribosomal RNA is filed under the name uncultured bacterium. Its description in RNAcentral is "partial 16S ribosomal RNA". It matches the Rfam family "Bacterial small subunit ribosomal RNA", at positions 28 to 507 of the family's 1533-position model. The record is from RNAcentral.
GAUGAACGCUGGCGGCGUGCCUAAUACAUGCAAGUCGAGCGAACAGACGAGGAGCUUGCUCCUCUGACGUUAGCGGCGGACGGGUGAGUAACACGUGGAUAACCUACCUAUAAGACUGGGAUAACUUCGGGAAACCGGAGCUAAUACCGGAUAAUAUAUUGAACCGCAUGGUUCAAUAGUGAAAGACGGUUUUGCUGUCACUUAUAGAUGGAUCCGCGCCGCAUUAGCUAGUUGGUAAGGUAACGGCUUACCAAGGCGACGAUGCGUAGCCGACCUGAGAGGGUGAUCGGCCACACUGGAACUGAGACACGGUCAAGACUCCUACGGGAGGCAGCAGUAGGGAAUCUUCCGCAAUGGGCGAAAGCCUGACGGAGCAACGCCGCGUGAGUGAUGAAGGUCUUCGGAUCGUAAAACUCUGUUAUUAGGGAAGAAAAAAUGUGUAAGUAACUAUGCACGUCUUGACGGUACCUAAUCAGAAAGCCACGGCUAACUACGUG